This 254-nucleotide unclassified non-coding RNA is filed under the name Hevea brasiliensis (rubber tree). Lineage: Eukaryota; Viridiplantae; Streptophyta; Magnoliopsida; Malpighiales; Euphorbiaceae. The record is from RNAcentral.
AACAGGUGGAUAGUGAUGCCAAUUUGUUUGAAGGAAGUUUAGAUGGUCAUGAUAGCAUGGGCUUUGGUCCUUUGAUCCCAACAGAGAGUGAGAGAUCAUUGAUGGAGCGUGUGAGGCAGGAGUUAAAGCACGAGUUGAAACAGGGUUACAAGGAAAAACUAGUGGAUAUUAGAGAGGAAAUUCUUCGAAAGAGAAGGGCAGGAAAGCUCCCUGGCGAUACCACCUCUGUUUUGAAAGCUUGGUGGCAAUCACAU